UACGUAGGGUGCAAGCGUUGUCCGGAAUUAUUGGGCGUAAAGCGCGCGCAGGCGGUCCUUUAAGUCUGAUGUGAAAGCCCACGGCUCAACCGUGGAGGGUCAUUGGAAACUGGGGGACUUGAGUGCAGAAGAGGAGAGUGGAAUUCCACGUGUAGCGGUGAAAUGCGUAGAGAUGUGGAGGAACACCAGUGGCGAAGGCGACUCUCUGGUCUGUAACUGACGCUGAGGCGCGAAAGCGUGGGGAGCGAACAGG
Molecule: ribosomal RNA, 253 nt
Filed under: uncultured bacterium
Lineage: Bacteria
Description: partial 16S ribosomal RNA
Rfam family: Bacterial small subunit ribosomal RNA
Source: RNAcentral